UUUUUUCUUCUCCCACACCCCUCGGAAGAUGCCGACAAGCCCAAAGGAAAGCGGAGUGUCCUGUGUGCCACAUGGAACUCGGGGAAAGGAAAUGAUUAAAGCCGUGAGGUUUCCUGGCUCUUCGUGGUGUUUACGCUCCAUGCCGUGUCCAUCACACUCAACUGAUAUUCACCUUGUUGCAGCAGGAAAUGAACCUCAACACAGUAGGAAUCAUCACUCAAUCACAUCAGGUGGAUCUCAGCUACUGCAACAGUGCCACAUCUGCCUUCCUGCUGUUAUUCCCUGCCAUGAUGACCAUGGACUAACCCUCUGAAGCUGUGAGCAAACCUUCCUUUCGUGAGUUGCCAUGGUGAUGGUGUCUCCUCACAGCAGUAGAAGAGUAACUAAGAUACCUAGGUUUUACUUCUCAUUUUUAAAAGUAUUACUAUCUUUUGGGGUGGGGGUUGAUCUCACUCAAAUAGGUGGGAGAAACUAAUAAAUUUUUGAAAUAUCUGA
RNAcentral lists this long non-coding RNA (495 nucleotides) under Rattus norvegicus (Norway rat). RNAcentral describes it as "long non-coding RNA NONRATT011954". The record is from RNAcentral. Lineage: Eukaryota; Metazoa; Chordata; Mammalia; Rodentia; Muridae.